Long non-coding RNA from Gallus gallus (chicken), 1037 nucleotides. The record is from Ensembl. NCBI's taxonomy places the organism in Eukaryota, Metazoa, Chordata, Aves, Galliformes, Phasianidae.
GGAAGAUGCUGGUGUACAGCCCUAGGAACAAAACAACUGCUGAGGUUGUCCUAUUGCCACAUGCCCAAACUUAUUUUUGAAAGCUUGACUUUCUGUGUCUGAAGCACAGAAAUGAGGCUCCCAUUUAUCAGAGGAGGAGCAGUGAAUGUGUUUUUCCAGCAGCACUGCUCCCAAGCGUAGUGCAGUGUGUGGAGGAAUGGCAUUGCUACAGUGCUUCUGUGCUUAUGGAACUCUGAAAGCAGCUGGGAGACCCUGACCACAGCAAGAAGGGAUUAAUACAUUGCCGUUAUUUUGAGGUUAAAUCUUAUACUGGAAAGAGAAGUUGAUGUAAGGACACUUCAGCCCAACCAAGGCCAGAAGUAUAGUGAGGUUUUAGCUCUAUCUGUCAGAUUCAGAAGUAAAAUCUUUGGAGUGAACAAAAGCCCUUCAAAGUGCCGUUUCAAUCCAGACUGCAGCUGAGCUGCAGUAACUGUACAUGCUCUCUAGAAGAGGAGUGGGGAAGGCAAUGAAGGGGAUAUGAUGAAAAUUCGUUCACCUACAGAGAAAUAAAAACAGUGAUCAAUAUACAUCUCUGUGCCCUGCUGCUGACAAGGAAAAUGCACAUGGACAAAGCCAUAACUCAGCUGAUGUGCAGGAAUGUAAGUGCAAGUCCUUUCUCCUACAAACCAAGCUGUUAUUAAGACUUGUUUUAUACCAGAAAAUGCAUGACUAGAUUAUGCUGGUCCUAUUCCUACCCCCUCUAGAUGUGAAAUGUUCAUCAACAUGGUGGAAAUAGGAUCAAGUGACUAGCUUUCAACAAGGCACUUAUCAAUUUCAUUGAAGCCAAUUAGAGAUGAAUAUUCGGAACCUUGAAGAGAGAGCUGGCUGAUUUUGAGGGAUGCUUUAGUUAUCUAGGAGGAUAUUACUAAUUAAAAUCUUAUGGAAAAUGCAUGGCAACACUGUGGACUGAUGAUAUAUUACUCUUUUAUUUGCUGCAUCUGGAAUCAGUAACAUGGUGUAAACAUGUUUUUAAUUUUAAAAUGAUACUUUAGUUAAGC